GUAGAUUAAUAGAUUAUCUAGUAAAAUAACUAUGAAGAAGUUUGUGCAGGUACUAUUUAGUCUUUGGUUGGUCCUUCUGUUUGGUUUGCUAGAUGGUAAACCUCCCCACACCAGUAAUCGAUUAAUAAUGGACGCGAGUGCUGGUCAGAUGUUCCCAUCUACUCCAUACUACCUUAUGCCAAGGCAUCAUGAAUUAGGUGCUGGUGGCAUCAAACUCAUCAAGACUGGAAACUCAACUUACCCAAAUACUAUUUUGUAAUAUUUUCCAAACGACAACUUUGGCCUCCCAAUUCAUUUGUACAUAUCUGUAAUAAGCCUCCUUCUCAUCUUUGAAGGUAUUCCACUGGCUAUUUGUAUGGAACAGAAUCCAGCUUGUGUUAUAUCGUCGGUUUCUGUUCCUAUAGAGGGAUCUGGAAAUCCAAACUCCUCAAGAUGGUUGGUGUUUGUGGACAAUUCAAUCCAAAAGACAUGUGUGGGUACUGGUGGUCCUGAAGCUCAUCCAGGCCUACUAACGUAUAGUGGCACUUUUCACAUUGAGAUCCUAGAAAAGGAUCCUCUUAGAUACAACUCUUACAAGCUUGUGUUUUGUUUCGCGGGCUCAGACUACAAAAAUUGUUCCUAUAUUGGGACCUAUGAUAAUGGUGAGGGUGGAAGACGUUUGAUUCUCACUGAGACUAAUCCCUUCUUAUUUUCCUUUUUUCAUAUAUAUAAUAACUCUGAUGGGACUAUUAAGUCCGUAGGUUGAAUGACAUAUCUCAGGACUAGAUUAGAUUAAGAUUAGAUGGUCUUGAGUGAAUGCAAUCACAUACUUUGUUGUUUUGAUCUGCAUUAACUCUGCUCCAAAUAAAACCUCAAUGCAAACAUUGAAUAAGUGGAAUGAAUAAUUAAUGGUUAUGCUUUCUUGUAUUCC
Glycine soja is the source of this 910-nucleotide RNA transcript. It is a transcript of the gene named subtilisin inhibitor CLSI-II-like, with no coding region annotated. NCBI's taxonomy places the organism in Eukaryota, Viridiplantae, Streptophyta, Magnoliopsida, Fabales, Fabaceae. The record is from RefSeq and is a predicted model, not a curated record. The transcript has 2 exons.